AUUGAACGCUGGCGGCAGGCUUAACACAUGCAAGUCGAACGGUAACAGGAAGAAGCUUGCUUGUUUUCUGACGACUGGCGGACGGGUGAGUAAUGUCUGGGAUACUGCUUGAUUUAGGGGGACAACUACUGGAAACGGUAGCUAAUACCGCAUAACGUCGCAAGACCAAAGAGGGUGAGCUUCGGUCCUCUUGCCAUCGGAUGUGCCCAGAUGGGAUUGGCUAGUCGGUGGGGUUACGGCUCACCUAGGUGGCUUUCCCUAGCUGGUCUGAGAGGAUGGCAGGCCGCGUUGGAGCUGGGACGCGGUCCAGACUCCUACGGUAGGCAGCAGUGGGCAAUGUUGGGCAAUGGGCGCGAGUCUGGUGCAGCGAUACGGCGUGUGUUGAGAAAGCCUUCGGGUUGUAAAGUACGUUUAGCGGGGAGGAAGCGAUUUCGGUUAAGACGUUUGCUUAGUGACGUUACCGGGAGAAGAAGCACCGGCUAACUCCGUG
This 490-nucleotide ribosomal RNA is filed under the name uncultured bacterium. RNAcentral's name for it is "partial 16S ribosomal RNA". It matches the Rfam family "Bacterial small subunit ribosomal RNA", at positions 30 to 507 of the family's 1533-position model. The record is from RNAcentral.